UGAACGCUGGCGGCGUGCCUAAUACAUGCAAGUCGAGCGAACAGACGAGGAGCUUGCUCCUCUGACGUUAGCGGCGGACGGGUGAGUAACACGUGGAUAACCUACCUAUAAGACUGGGAUAACUUCGGGAAACCGGAGCUAAUACCGGAUAAUAUAUUGAACCGCAUGGUUCAAUAGUGAAAGACGGUUUUGCUGUCACUUAUAGAUGGAUCCGCGCCGCAUUAGCUAGUUGGUAAGGUAACGGCUUACCAAGGCAACGAUGCGUAGCCGACCUGAGAGGGUGAUCGGCCACACUGAAACUGAGACACGGUCCAGACUCCUACGGGAGGCAGCAGUAGGGCAUCUUCCGCAAUGGGCGAAAGCCUGACGGAGCAACGCCGCGUGAGUGAUGAAGGUCUUCGGAUCGUAAAACUCUGUUAUUAGGGAAGAACAAAUGUGUAAGUAACUAUGCACGUCUUGACGGUACCUAAUCAGAAAGCCACGGCUACCUACG
RNAcentral lists this ribosomal RNA (493 nucleotides) under uncultured bacterium. RNAcentral's name for it is "partial 16S ribosomal RNA". It matches the Rfam family "Bacterial small subunit ribosomal RNA", at positions 30 to 505 of the family's 1533-position model. The record is from RNAcentral.